RNAcentral lists this small RNA (201 nucleotides) under Arabidopsis thaliana (thale cress). RNAcentral's name for it is "ATSL058220". Lineage: Eukaryota; Viridiplantae; Streptophyta; Magnoliopsida; Brassicales; Brassicaceae. The record is from RNAcentral.
AUUUUAAGUUAUAUUUGUUUUGUUAAUAUUGAAUAUUUUUUUUUGUGUUUAAGGUUGUAUAAUUGUAUUUUGAUUGUUAAUUUUAAGAUUUCAUCCGUGAUAAACUUUUCUUUAUCAAUAUGUAUCAAAACCCGUCAUCCCAUAUAAAUCCGUAUAUAUUAUCUCGUUAGCUAAAUUAUUAGUGUUAUAAAAUUCAAAAAA